GCCCCUGCCCGGGCGCUGGAGGCGGGAAGCAUAGAUCUGGGAUUCCAAGGCGGGGGUGUGUCCCGCCGGUGAUUGAGGGUUCGCGGGGACAGGAGUUGAGGGGCAGGGAGGAAAGGGUUUCCGGGUAGAAUGCGGGCGCGGUACGUUCUUAGGAGCAAAGUCGGGGAACACUAGCAGGCCUGAAUCCCUGCGUGUUCAAGGGGAUCGCGUGGAUUUCUGUGCACAGAAACCACGCCCCACCCGACUAUUUCUCACAUGCGCUGCGCCACACUCCUGCAGCUGCAUUCGACUCUAGUAAAUUCAAAGCGAGGACUUCGAACAGCUGGCUCGUUGGUCUAGGGGUAUGAUUCUCGGUUUGGGUCCGAGAGGUCCCGGGUUCAAAUCCCGGACGAGCCCCUCUUUUCUUUUAACUGCUUGGCACGCGUAACUUGGCGUUCUACAGUCCUAAUGAACGCGAAAUGGCAUCUGGCACAAUUCGAAGAGGUCGGAUCGACGAUUGAAAAUGAGCGAGCGGUUUUGCCCACUGGUUGCUCUCUAAAAAAUUCUUCCAGUUCGGCAGCCCCGCACGGGGGCAAGGGGUGACACACAGAGAGAGAAGGGCCCACGGAUUCCCAAGGUGCCCUGGAUCCAGGGAUGCAAAGAGAAGAGGGUUCAAAGAAGAUGUGAAGGGGACGAGCCACAACCCUCGGUGCUGAGAGAGGAGAGAGCGAGCCAUGAAGGAUCACUAGUCCAACAUCCUUUCUUUUCUGUGCGCCCACUCACCUGCUCACUCACUGGAUCACGUGUGCAACUAGCUGGCCCCCGCAUACCAGGAGCCAUACUCAGGCCCACCAGAGCAGUGGGUCUCUGAGUGUGGGCCCCACACCAGCAGCAUCAGCGUGACCUGGAUCAUGCUAGAAAUGCACAUUCUCAGGCCCCAACCCAGACUUACUGCUCCAGAAACUCUGGGGUGGGCCCAGCCCUCAGGGUUUUAACAAACUCUCCAGAUGACUGUGCACACUCAGUUGGAGAAUCACUGUGCUGCAUGACUUCAGUUUCCACAUUGCUGCUUUGGGGAAAAUAACACGUGUCUCACAAGGUUGAGCCCAGUAUUAGCUAACACAUGUGCUAGAUGCGCCACCUGUGCCAGGUAUCCUUCUAAUCCCUUUAUAACACACCUAACUCCUCACCAACUCUGAGAUAGGAACUAAUAUUAUCUUCAUUUAUUUCCUGAGAUGAGGAAAUGCAGGCACAGAGAGGCACAGUAACUUGGCCAGGGUCACACAGCUAGUAGGCAACAGAGCUUUGGAAUCUAUGGUUUUUAAAACUCCCCGACAAAAAGCCUCCAGCGGUGAGUCUGGCUCCCAGAAUGUGUUCUGGGCAUGGUUGAGAAUGUGAUGAUGGCAGUUAGCAUUACCUCACCUGAACUUGCGAUGAUGAUCCCUGUUUUGUAGAUGUGAAAUCUGCUGCCUUGUCAAGAUCAGGGAGUGAGUCAGCUGCAGAAGCAGCCUGAGUGUCUGAAACCCAUGUGGCCACAGGCCCUCACCAUUCACAAAGCUUGGAGAUCACAAUAUACCAUUCUGGUCUUCUAGAAACAUCCCAGCGUGUUGCAGGUGGAGUGUGGGCUCUGACAGACGUGGGCUGGAACCCUGGUUUUGGCCACUCAGGGGCUGUGUAACCUUGAGCAAAUCAUCUCCCCUCUCUGAGCCUCCGUUUCCUCCUGUCAAGGGCUUGGUGACAGUUCUCACUUUGUGGGGUUCCUGUGAGGGUUGGAGAAGAUGACGUUUGUGCCCAGCCCAGAGCGUGCAUGAUUGGGUAUCAGAAAGCAGCUUGUCCCUCUCUCUUCCCCCUUCCUGCUGCCACCUUGGUGGAAACAUGGAAACACCAGCUUAGGACCCAGAAAAGUCCUGGGAGAAGAAGAACUAAGUUCCCAAGUGAUGGAAAUGCAUUUGUCCUCCAGUUUGUCUGUCCUUUUCCAGAACUUGAAACAGCUGCCCUAGCUGGGGUUUGGGGGGUUAAACACUGGCACCUGCUGUGCCUAGUGCAAGUCAGGAGUGGGGUAACCUGUGAAGGGAGGGCAGGUGUCCUCUCUGAGCCAUAUCCACUGGCCAGACAUCCUCAAUCAGCCAAAGCAUCUGAGCAUCCGCCUGCUGCAAGACUGAGUCUGGCCCCGGCAUCUGAAGCUCAUUAGCGGCCUGCUCCCCAGGGGCUGACCCUGCUUGGCGAGAAUUCUCCCAGACAGAGCCGCAGAGCAAAGACCAGGUUAACAUCAUGAAUAGGCCGGAUGGCUGUUUCCUGAGCCAGGGAGCCCUGUGAUUCAUUUACCCCUCACAGGACAACAUCACCGGCAUUUCUAAGAAAGGCCCAGAGAGACGGGGGGAUCUCACCAAAUUCACACAGCCUGUCAGAGCUGAGACAAUCCUGGAUGCCCAGACCCUGCCUAA
Piliocolobus tephrosceles (Ugandan red Colobus) is the source of this 2423-nucleotide long non-coding RNA. RefSeq lists it as uncharacterized. The transcript has 4 exons. The record is from RefSeq and is a predicted model, not a curated record. NCBI's taxonomy places the organism in Eukaryota, Metazoa, Chordata, Mammalia, Primates, Cercopithecidae.